UCUCGAAGUCAUACCCUCCACGCUUGC
RNAcentral lists this non-coding RNA (27 nucleotides) under Bombyx mori (domestic silkworm). The record is from RNAcentral. Lineage: Eukaryota; Metazoa; Arthropoda; Insecta; Lepidoptera; Bombycidae.